GAGGGCCCCGCACAAGCAGCGGAGCGUGUGGUUUAAUUCGAUGCUACACGAAGAACCUUACCAGGGUUUGACAUACAAGUAGUAGGGAAAGGAAACUGGACCGACCCUUCGGGGAGCUUGAACAGGUGCUGCAUGGCUGUCGUCAGCUCGUGUCGUGAGAUGUUCGGUUAAGUCCGCUAACGAGCGCAACCCUCGCUGUGUGUUACAAGUGUCACACGGAACUGCCGGUCAUAAACCGGAGGAAGGUGGGGAUGACGUCAAGUCAGCAUGGCCUUUAUAUCCUGGGCUACACACACGCUACAAUGGGAAGGGACAAUAGGUUGCGAAACCGCGAGGUGGAGCCAAUCCAGCAAAACUUCCCUCAGUUCAGAUUGCAGGCUGCAACUCGCCUGCAUGAAGUUGGAGUUGCUAGUAAACGCAGGUCAGCCAUACUGCGUUGAAUACGUUCCCGGGGCUU
This 457-nucleotide ribosomal RNA is filed under the name uncultured Anaerolineaceae bacterium. RNAcentral describes it as "bacterial SSU rRNA". It matches the Rfam family "Bacterial small subunit ribosomal RNA", at positions 915 to 1382 of the family's 1533-position model. The record is from RNAcentral. Lineage: Bacteria; Bacillati; Chloroflexota; Anaerolineae; Anaerolineales; Anaerolineaceae.